UACAGAGGUCUCAAGCGUUGUUCGGAAUUACUGGGCGUAAAGGGCUCGUAGGCGGCCAACUAAGUCGGAUGUGAAAUCCCCAGGCUUAACCUGGGAACUGCAUCCGAUACUGGAUGGCUUGAAUCCGGGAGAGGGAUGCAGAAUUCCAGGUGUAGCGGUGAAAUGCGUAGAUAUCUGGAGGAAUACCGGUGGCGAAGGCGGCAUCCUGGACCGGCAUUGACGCUGAUGAGCGAAAGCUAGGGGAGCAAACGGG
RNAcentral lists this ribosomal RNA (253 nucleotides) under uncultured bacterium. RNAcentral's name for it is "partial 16S ribosomal RNA". It matches the Rfam family "Bacterial small subunit ribosomal RNA", at positions 524 to 776 of the family's 1533-position model. The record is from RNAcentral.